Molecule: ribosomal RNA, 352 nt
Filed under: uncultured bacterium
Lineage: Bacteria
Description: bacterial SSU rRNA
Rfam family: Bacterial small subunit ribosomal RNA
Source: RNAcentral
AGAGUUUGAUCCUGGCUCAGGAUGAACGCUAGCUACAGGCUUAACACAUGCAAGUCGAGGGGAAACGACAUCGAAAGCUUGCUUUUGAUGGGCGUCGACCGGCGCACGGGUGAGUAACGCGUAUCCAACCUGCCCACCACUUGGGGAUAACCUUGCGAAAGUAAGACUAAUACCCAAUGACGUCUCUAGAAGACAUCUGAAAGAGAUUAAAGAUUUAUCGGUGAUGGAUGGGCAUGCGUCCUAUUAGUUAGUUGGCGGGGUAACAGCCACCAAGACGAUGAUAGGUAGGGGUUCUGAGAGGAAGGUCCCCCACAUUGGAACUGAGACACGGUCCAAACUCCUACGGGAGGCA